This 377-nucleotide ribosomal RNA is filed under the name uncultured bacterium. RNAcentral's name for it is "bacterial SSU rRNA". It matches the Rfam family "Bacterial small subunit ribosomal RNA", at positions 521 to 896 of the family's 1533-position model. The record is from RNAcentral.
UAAGACGUAGGGUCCAAGCGUUGUCCGGAAUUACUGGGCGUAAAGCGCGCGCAGGCGGAUUCGCGCAUCAUCGGUGAAAGCCCCCCGCUCAACGGGGGAGGGUCCGGUGAGAUGGCGAGUCUGGAGGCAGGGAGAGGCGAGUGGAAUUCCGGGUGUAGUGGUGAAAUGCGUAGAGAUCCGGAGGAACACCAGUGGCGAAGGCGGCUCGCUGGACCUGACCUGACGCUGAGGCGCGAAGGCGUGGGGAGCGAACGGGAUUAGAUACCCCGGUAGUCCACGCAGUAAACGAUGGAUACUAGGUGUGGCGGGAGUUGACCCCUGCCGUGCCGGCGUCAACACAGUAAGUAUCCCGCCUGGGGAGUACGGCCGCAAGGCUA